CCGUAGCCAGUCUGGCUCAAG
This 21-nucleotide small RNA is filed under the name Karenia brevis. Its description in RNAcentral is "trans-spliced leader sequence SL". The record is from RNAcentral. Lineage: Eukaryota; Dinophyceae; Gymnodiniales; Kareniaceae.